RNAcentral lists this long non-coding RNA (400 nucleotides) under Musa acuminata (dwarf banana). RNAcentral's name for it is "long non-coding RNA (MACU_LNC003754)". The record is from RNAcentral. Lineage: Eukaryota; Viridiplantae; Streptophyta; Magnoliopsida; Zingiberales; Musaceae.
GAUAUCUAAACCUCCGGCAGAACCUGCAACAAUCACCAUCCAGUAUACCAUCUCCGAUUGGCAAGUAAAUAUUUUACAACCAUUUUUCUAACUCUCGGGCAUAUCCCUUAGAACCUCAUUUUAUCUCUAUGUAUGUUACACCUAUUGUAAAUAUUAGUAAUCCUCUCAAUGCUUCACUUAGGACGGAUGAUGUAUGCUCAUAAAUGGUUAUACUAGAUAACCUGCUCACAUAUUCAAAAUUGUGACAGUUCCAGAGUUUAUGACUUGUAGAUCGACACAUUUUUAUUUGCUAUUAAUUUUAAUGUCUAACAAUUCUGUUAUCACCCAGUUUUAGAAUUUUAUACUGUCAUGAUACAGUGGUGUGUUGCCUUGGUAGCAAAUUCACGAAAGAUUUUUGAUA